This 71-nucleotide transfer RNA is filed under the name Plesiocystis pacifica. RNAcentral describes it as "tRNA-OTHER". It matches the Rfam family "tRNA". From Rfam's summary of the family: Transfer RNA (tRNA) molecules are approximately 80 nucleotides in length. Their secondary structure includes four short double-helical elements and three loops (D, anti-codon, and T loops). Further hydrogen bonds mediate the characteristic L-shaped molecular structure. tRNAs have two regions of fundamental functional importance: the anti-codon, which is responsible for specific mRNA codon recognition, and the 3' end, to which the tRNAs corresponding amino acid is attached (by aminoacyl-tRNA synthetases). tRNAs cope with the degeneracy of the genetic code in two manners: having more than one tRNA (with a specific anti-codon) for a particular amino acid; and 'wobble' base-pairing, i.e. permitting non-standard base-pairing at the 3rd anti-codon position. Lineage: Bacteria; Pseudomonadati; Myxococcota; Nannocystales; Nannocystaceae. RNAcentral also lists the same sequence under 1 other name. The record is from RNAcentral.
CCUGAAGUAGUUCAGCGGUAGAACGCCCGGCUCGGCCCGGGUCGGCGCAGGUUCGAAUCCUGCCUUCAGGU